UGCUGAUGGAAAGGGCUGUGUAG
RNAcentral lists this unclassified non-coding RNA (23 nucleotides) under Mus musculus (house mouse). Its description in RNAcentral is "oocyte_clustered_small_RNA12208". The record is from RNAcentral. Lineage: Eukaryota; Metazoa; Chordata; Mammalia; Rodentia; Muridae.